UACGUAGGGUGCAGGCGUUAAUCGGAAUUACUGGGCGUAAAGCGUGCGCAGGCGGUCUACUAAGACAGGUGUGAAAUCCCCGGGCUUAACCUGGGAACUGCGCUUGUAACUGGCAAGCUAGAGUGUGGCAGAGGGGGGUGGAAUUCCACGUGUAGCAGUGAAAUGCGUAGAGAUGUGGAGGAACACCGAUGGCGAAGGCAGCACCCUGGGCUAACACUGACGCUCAUGCACGAAAGCGUGGGGAGCAAACAGG
RNAcentral lists this ribosomal RNA (253 nucleotides) under uncultured bacterium. RNAcentral's name for it is "partial 16S ribosomal RNA". It matches the Rfam family "Bacterial small subunit ribosomal RNA", at positions 524 to 776 of the family's 1533-position model. The record is from RNAcentral.